RNAcentral lists this ribosomal RNA (528 nucleotides) under uncultured bacterium. Its description in RNAcentral is "bacterial SSU rRNA". It matches the Rfam family "Bacterial small subunit ribosomal RNA", at positions 777 to 1304 of the family's 1533-position model. The record is from RNAcentral.
AAUAGAUACCCAGGUAGUCCAUGCCGUAAACGUUGGGCGCUAGGUGUGGGGCUCAUUCCACGAGUUCCGUGCCGCAGCAAACGCAUUAAGCGCCCCGCCUGGGGAGUACGGCCGCAAGGCUAAAACUCAAAGGAAUUGACGGGGGCCCGCACAAGCGGCGGAGCAUGCGGAUUAAUUCGAUGCAACGCGAAGAACCUUACCAAGGCUUGACAUGGGGUGAAAACCGGCAGAGAUGUCGGGUCCGCAAGGGCGCCUCACAGGUGGUGCAUGGUUGUCGUCAGCUCAUGUCGUGAGAUGUUGGGUUAAGUCCCGCAACGAGCGCAACCCUCGUUCUAUGUUGCCAGCACGUAAUGGUGGGGACUCAUAGGAGACUGCCGGGGUCAACUCGGAGGAAGGUGGGGAUGACGUCAAAUCAUCAUGCCCCUUAUGUCUUGGGUCUUCACGCAUGCUACAAUGGCCAGUACAAAGGGCUGCGAGACCGUGAGGUGGAGCGAAUCCCAAAAAGCUGGUCUCAGUUCGGAUUGGGGU